UUGAUCAGGUCCCCGCGCACCGCGUCCUCAUCCUCCUGCCCCUCCUGCUGCUGGAAGCUUGAUGAGCGGGCCCGCGGGUCUUCACAGCCGAGAUCUCCAGCAUGGGGAGGGCAAGGAUUGAGAUCAAGAGGAUCGAGAACAACACGAGCCGGCAGGUCACCUUCUGCAAGCGUCGCAACGGGCUUCUCAAGAAGGCUUACGAGCUCUCAGUCCUCUGCGACGCUGAGGUGGCGCUCAUCGUCUUCUCCAGCAGGGGCCGCCUCUACGAGUACUCAAACAACAGGUCACAGGGACGCCCAUGGAUUUGUUGUUACCAACAAAGGAGCUCUAAUAGUGAGUGCAUCAUCUCAGCACCCAUUUACUGCCCAUCAAGCAUCGUUUGGUGAAUUGAACUAAAUUUCUUUUAAUUAACUGAACUAUCAUGCUGCUCUUACUGAAAUAUUAGAUAUUUCAGAAAAUAUCAAUGAGAAAAAAAAAUACUUACCUAAAGUUUCAAGAGUUUGUAUAGCUGAAAGUUGCUCUGCAGAUGCUGUCUUGAAAUAAGAGUAGUAGUACUUCCCUGUGAAAAAUGUGUUAUGCCAAGAGUUUUAUCUGCUGAUAUGCAGUUCCUGAAACGUAAAGCUCUUAUUACUUCUGCUUAUCAGCACUAAGCUCUUGUACAUUUGAUUUAAUCAACCAACCUUUAAUUUUAGUCUUCAUAGGAUUACCGUUUGCAAUAAAAACAAAUACAAUAGCAUCUUCCUUCCAUCAUUUGUUUGACAUCUAAAUCCAUUACUACAGCCCAGUCGCAUGUAGCUAACAUGAACCUUGUAGCAGUAAUAUUGUAGUGACAGCUAAAAAUAACUUUAAGUAUGAAACAGCAAAUUGUUAACAUAGUCUUCCACCAUUUAGAAACAACAGUCUCGUCCAUGAGCAACAUGGCAUAAUUGUCGCUCAGACAUUCCACUGUCCCCAGGAAAAAAAGUAGAAGAAAAUAAUUUCAGAAUUAAUUGUAACUUGCAGAGCCAAGUAAGACCAGCUAAACUGACAGUAGUAGUCAUCUGCCCCCGAAAGUGAGGCUCCACCAGUGAACACGACAUCUGCCCCUUCACUUAUCAUUCAACAAUCACCAUAUGGUCAGCUAACUAACACACCUUUGGUUCGCAUACUUAUAUUCUGGCUGUCCAAAUGUAUCACUUUAAACAACUCCAAGCUAUAAAAAAAAUGCAACUAUCAUGCCCUUAUUUGUGGGCAAUUAGGCAAACUAUUUUUUGCUGCACACUAUAGAUUGCUUCAUGCCCUUCUGAACUCGCACUAUGAUAGUAUACUAUGUUGCAUACUCUUUAUAUAUUUAGAAUUCAGUAAAUUGUUUUUUUUGGCCUGAUCCUAACUCAAAUAUUUCUCUGUAUAACCUUUCAAUACUGUGUACAAAGCACACUCAUAUAUACAAAUUUGAUACUACAAUCACUUCUCAUCAACAAAGGAAUUAAAUUGCAUACAGCAAAUUUAAAGUAGGAUCACCUUGUACACCAUACUGCAUUCUGCACACUGCAUGCAUUUGUAAAUAAAAAAAUUGCGGAUAUUGCCUUUGACAGUUCAUGUCUAAUUUCUGAAUCAUGAGGCCAAAUUCAGAUGCUAGACUACUUUGUUUCCAAGCAAGAAGUGACAAGCCUUCCGUAGCCAUUGGUGGAAACGACUAUCAAGCAUCUUGUCAGCUGCAUUAGUACCAUUACACGAUAGCAUCGAAAUCUACAUUAUCUACCUCCUGUAGUACCAUCUGCCCAGCGUUACCCAAAUCACCUAUGCUGCCACUAAGCGUGGUCACCACUGCCCAAGCAAUGUAGCUACUUCCUUUUUUAGUUCUCUUCCCCUUCGGUCGUACUGACUCUGUUAUAAUGAACCAUAUGCUGUAUAAUAUCUAGAUGUAUUAUUGGUUGCCUACAA
Molecule: RNA transcript, 1923 nt
Organism: Panicum virgatum (switchgrass)
Lineage: Eukaryota; Viridiplantae; Streptophyta; Magnoliopsida; Poales; Poaceae
Gene name: agamous-like MADS-box protein AGL11
Exons: 4
Source: RefSeq, a predicted model, not a curated record